Long non-coding RNA from Lagopus muta (rock ptarmigan), 4197 nucleotides. RefSeq lists it as uncharacterized. Lineage: Eukaryota; Metazoa; Chordata; Aves; Galliformes; Phasianidae. The transcript has 3 exons. The record is from RefSeq and is a predicted model, not a curated record.
GGGAAUUUCAACCCUGCUUUGUUUCAGCCUCUCUGGCGGCGUUGCUGCAGGGCUGUGAACCCAGGGAUCCCAAACUGAUGGCCCCGCAGCCCCCGAGCUUUAUCCUCACUGUGGAUCUUUGGGGAUGAAUCAAAAUGUUUCAGGCACAACAAACUGGAAUAUCUAUUUCAUCGGGGAGAGGAAAAGGAGAAGAAAAUCAUCAGCUCUAAUGAGAGAUGCUAAGAUAUUUGGGUAUGUUGGGAGGCUGCCUCCUGCUCCUCGCAGUUGGAACAAACAUGCUCCCUAAUCUCUUGGCCCCUAUGAAUGAUUGUUUUCCCCUGGAUAAUACCUUUUCUUCACAUCAGAGCGCUGAGUAUCAGUAGCACACACUUGAUGCUUUCCAGUGCUCUCUUUUGCAGUGCUGGGUCAUUGCCAGCCUUCAAUUUACCUGCCCGCUCCCUUAUCUCUAGGCUGCGGAUCCAUCCUGUGCUGGAUUUCCUAGAUACAAAGGUGUCUUUCUGUGCAAGCUAUUGUUUUAUAAUUCAGCAGCUCUAUCAGUGCAAAAAGUCUGUUUUGUUUCUCUGUUAACCCAAUCAGGGAAUCUGCUUUUACCCCGAGCUUGUCCUGUAGGAUUCAACUCCUCCAAAUGCAUCUCCAGCCUGAUACCAACCAUACUGGACCAACCUAUAGGACCUGCUCUUCUCACCCCAACAUUUCAGCAUCGUGGAACCAAUCUGUGGCCCAGUGCUGGGUGGCACUCAUGUGUGUUACCUGCUUUAUCAAGAGAUGCUAUCCCUUGUUCCAAGGCAUUUUUAAUAGCAGCUCUUUUCUUGACUCCGAGUGGCUCGAUGGUGUGUUUUUGGACCUGAUCACAUUUUUCCCCUUUGGUUACAGAUUUGCUUUGUGCACAGCUUUAAUUCUUGCUUCUGUAUUUAUCCAAACUUGUGCUUUCCUGUAAACAUGGUAUAUUUUCUGGAAGGAAUUGCUCUCCAGCCUCUAUGUGCUCCACUGCUGGGCACUGCUUCCCUCCUGGGUACAACUCCGUUGUCUUUGUACUCUCUUCUUGCAGGAGGUAUCAGGGGGCUGAGCUGUGCCCAACCUUCUUUACAUACCAGGGGUUGAACAAUGCCGUGAAAGAUUUUUCAAACACAAAACACCUUUUUCAUUCAAAAAGCAGUAACCAGCAAUGGUAGGAGUGGGGCUGGGACUUUAGCCAGGCUCUUGCAGACCAACAUUAACGCAUUGUCUGUGAGAGAACUGUUACCUCAGAGUGGACCAUCGCCUUUCCCAGCGCAGAGCUCUUCCCUGCACCUCUCAUCCCCUGCAGCUGCACUGGCAGUGGCCCAUUUCCAAAGUGCUGUCACCCACAUUUAUUCAAUACUUGUCACUGUACAGUCUUCUGGAAGCAGGAGCCAGGUUGAAGCGACAGAUAACAGCUUGUUGUGCUGUUGACACAGUGGUGGAUCCCACGACUCCCCAUAUUUCUCUUUUUAAAGAAGCAUUCCAGCUCUCUUGCUGUUUGAAAAGCCUUCCUUUCAUUAAAUUGUGCUGAUGCCACAGAAAAUUGUCAGCUGUCCAUCCUUUCCCCAGGCAGGGAAAAUAUAUCUGUAUAUAUCUGUAUAUAUGUAUGUAUAAUCACAGCAAGGGGAGGGAAGGGUCAGGUGUUGCUAUGGAAAGAGACUAUUAAUGUGUAACAGAACUGGUCGUACGGGAGGUGCACAAAAUGAGCCUUUCAAAGGAAGGUCACAGGCAGCCCAGCCUCUCUUUGGGGGACACCUGUCCCAAAUUUGAUAAUUUGAUAAUUUGUUCCUCCCAUUAUUUCCCUUUGCUGACGGCUCUUUGGCCAGAUUUUCAAGCAUCAAAAGGUAUCCUGUGCUAAAAUGGUCUGGAUUCAUUCAGAGAGCAAAUUUCUACAAGGCAUGGGCUUGACUGCUUUAUGAAGAGCUUACAGCUAGAUCCUGAGGGUGUAUAAAUUACAAUAACUUUCCAAAGUCCAGCUUAUGCCAGCUGAGCACCUAAUGUACGUGAAAUAUCUUCUGCUUUUAAUAGGAUCAUCCAAAAGGAAAGAAGGUGAAAUGUGAAGCAAGGGGAGAGAAGAAUGUCCGUGUAUUGCUUUCCAGUCUGCAAUGGUCAUGGAUUUCAUUGGGAAUAACUGCUUUGCCCAGUCUGUGUCAGGUGGAGCCAGCUCUGCUUUUACACAUUAACUCCAGCUCUGGCUAAGAGAAGGAAGAUGAUCUCCCGGUACAUUUGUAGAACUGGUUUCUCUUUGCUCCAUGCAUGACCACCCAGAUGCACACAUCUUCCCAAGGCACUCAGCUUUGCCCUCUGCUCCAAUCUUUCUCUGUGUGCCCCAUGAAACACAGAGGAUGUAUUACUAACAGUGGUAUCUCGAUUUCAUUUAAACGUAACAGGACAAAGAGUAGGAUUGCUAGAUGGAUUUUUCAUCUAUAAACUCAUCUAUAAACUGCAUUCUGCAGUAUCACAGAACCAUUGAAUAUCCCAAGUUGGGAGAGUUCAUGAAUGAUCCAUAAGGAUCACUGAGUCUAAGUACUGGAGCACUCACUCCAGUCUGGGUGUUUCUACACCAUUACAAGACUUACUCUUUGGAUACUCUUUGGGCUUCAUCCUGACUGGGCUCCCCUUAACAAGGGAACUAAAAUGAAGAGGUAAAUGAAUUUCUUCCUGGAAGAUUGGAGCAGAAAUGCUAAGUCAUGGCCUGAAGCAGUGACUGAACACCUGGUAGGAAGGCAGGGCCAACCCAGUGGAGCACAGGUGCAUGCAAUGCAAUGCAAUGCAGCUGAGUGAUGAAGGGGUGCAGCCAGGAUCCACCCCUUCCCAGACCUCAUUUAAGGGCUGGAAGUGGAGGUGAGGGUCUGUUGCAGGAGUUCUUUGCGAAACUGUGGUCUUCAGAAGAGCUUCUUCAGAAGUAAAUAGAUUCUGAAACUUUUGUGUUGCUCAGGACCAUAAAAUCUCAGAUCCUUAAAUCCUGGGUAGGACUGUAAGCCACCAGAGUGCUGUGAGGAGUGGGUGCCAGCACUGGAGGACAAAGACUGCAGUAGAAGAGGUGGCUGAGCAGAGGAUCCAAACUGGCGCUGUUGGUGAAGAAGAAACUGGGAUACAGUAAGGAAGAAUGGCAUGAAAAAAGGCACAUGAGCAUCUGGAAAGGGAGGUUAAGAAGUGUGACCUUACUGUAGGAUGGAAGAAAAAGGCAUGUAGAAGAUGUCUGGAAGAAGGGCACAGUGUGCUGAGAGAAGUGAUUUGCUGCUUGGGCUUGGUCUGGAUGACAGAUGGGAGGCUGCAGUGAGGAAAGAGACACAGAAGGGAGAAGGGGCCAGCAACAGAGUGAGUGGGACCUUGGGUGGGCAGUAGAGGAGAGGUGAGAGGCAGUACCAUUUGGGGGGGAGGAGGAUGACUGCCAGCUCUCCUGAGUGAUGGGGUGGCACUGUCAGCAGUGGGGUUGUCAGGGAUGGCAGGUGACAAGGUGUGGGCAAUAUGGAGCAGAAAGAGCUCCUCCCUCACUGCUGAUGUGGGAGGGGUGAGCUCAGUUCUGUUCUCUCAGUGCAGUUCCUCAAAAUCCAGGGCCAUCUGGACACGGUCCUGUCCCUCACACAAGCUGUUGCCCAGGGAUUGCUCUGGCAGCCAUGACUGGCUGGCAUGUCCAGGAGUCUGUGUUCACAGCCAGAAGGGCAGAUGGCACAGGAUUCACUACAGUGGCUUUGCAGCACCUGGUGCCACCAUUUGGGGGUGUGGGGUCCGGUGGAGACAGGUGAGCCCUGCUGUGUGCACUGCAAUGUCAUUCAAUUGAGUUCCACAGGGCUGCUCUGCCAUGCUGACCCAGCAAGCUCCCAGACACCUUCAGUAUCACUGGUGCAAACAUUUGGGAUGGGUAUGCUCCUCUCCAGCUGGCUUUGUGGUGUUGGGCUGUGCCAAAGAUCUGCCUGAGGUGAGGGAGGACAGUGGAACUCAGCUGACAUCACUUCAGCAAUGUGUUUGCAGUGACCAAUGUCUUCGGCUCACUGCCAUUCGUGUUCUGGGUUGCUCAAGAAAUGGGUAUGAAGAAGAGACACUGAAAACUUUGAUCACUCUGCUCACAUGCCUACACACUAGGGUUGUUUUGUUCAAGGAAUGUUUUAUUAGCAUUUCACCAUCCCAGUAACAAUGUUUUUUUUUUUUUUUCUUUAAAUAGCAUUUGUGAUAUGGAAUUUGUCAAAAAUUAAA